This 198-nucleotide ribosomal RNA is filed under the name uncultured bacterium. RNAcentral describes it as "partial 16S ribosomal RNA". It matches the Rfam family "Bacterial small subunit ribosomal RNA", at positions 328 to 539 of the family's 1533-position model. The record is from RNAcentral.
ACGCUCGACACCUACGGAGGCAGCAGUGGGGAAUAUUGCACAAUGGGGGAAACCCUGAUGCAGCGACGCCGCGUGAAGGAAGAAGUAUUUCGGUAUGUAAACUUCUAUCAGCAGGGAAGAAGAUGACGGUACCUGACUAAGAAGCCCCGGCUAACUACGUGUCAGCAGCCGCGGUAAUCUGAGGCGGGCUGGCAAGGC